UCCCCGUUACCGGGGCAGUCUAGCUAGAGAAAUCCAACUAACUAUAAGGGUUGCGCUCGUUGAUGGACUUAACCAAACAUCUCACGACACGAGCUGACGACGGCCAUGCAUCACCUGUCACUACGGUCCGAAGACACUCUCUCCUUUCGGAGAAAUUAGUAGGAUGUCAAACCUGGGUAAGGUUCUUCGCUUAUCAUCGAAUUAAACAACACGCUCCACCGCUUGUGCGGGUCCCCGUCAAUUCCUUUAUGUUUUAGCCUUGCGGCCGUACUCCACAGGCGGGAUGCUUAACGCGUUAGCUUCGCAACACACAGGGUCGAUACUGUGUACUGCUAGCAUCCAUCGUUUACGGCGUGGACUAC
Molecule: unclassified non-coding RNA, 362 nt
Filed under: uncultured bacterium
Lineage: Bacteria
Description: contains 16S-23S intergenic spacer region
Source: RNAcentral